RNAcentral lists this transfer RNA (83 nucleotides) under Cricetulus griseus (Chinese hamster). RNAcentral's name for it is "tRNA-Leu (AAG) (tRNA-Leu-AAG-1-1)". It matches the Rfam family "tRNA". From Rfam's summary of the family: Transfer RNA (tRNA) molecules are approximately 80 nucleotides in length. The record is from Rfam by way of RNAcentral. Lineage: Eukaryota; Metazoa; Chordata; Mammalia; Rodentia; Cricetidae.
GUCAGGAUGGCCGAGCGGUCUAAGGCGCUGCGUUAAGGUCGCAGUCUCCUCUGGAGGCGUGGGUUCGAAUCCCACUUCUGACA